Molecule: ribosomal RNA, 253 nt
Filed under: uncultured bacterium
Lineage: Bacteria
Description: partial 16S ribosomal RNA
Rfam family: Bacterial small subunit ribosomal RNA
Source: RNAcentral
UACGAAGGGGGCUAGCGUUGUUCGGAAUCACUGGGCGUAAAGCGCACGUAGGCGGAUCUUUAAGUCAGAGGUGAAAUCCCAAGGCUCAACCUUGGAACUGCCUUCGAUACUGGAGAGCUCGAGUCCGGGAGAGGUGAGUGGAACUGCGAGUGUAGAGGUGAAAUUCGUAGAUAUUCGCAAGAACACCAGUGGCGAAGGCGGCUCACUGGCCCGGUACUGACGCUGAGGUGCGAAAGCGUGGGGAGCAAACAGG